GUAUUUGAUUUAAAAUCAAUAAUUCAGGCAAAAUUAAAGCGAGUUUGAAAAAAAAAACCGUCGGCUCGUCCUCCGCGAGGAAAGAGCGCACCGAGGGCCUUUGUUCGAUGAGUGCACAUAAGGAUGAAUCGUGGUCUGCCGACGCCCAAGGGCGAACGACAGUAAACCUUGUAAUGAUCCUUCCGCAGGUUCACCUACGGAAA
RNAcentral lists this unclassified non-coding RNA (203 nucleotides) under uncultured fungus. RNAcentral's name for it is "sequence contains ITS1". The record is from RNAcentral. Lineage: Eukaryota; Fungi.